Molecule: ribosomal RNA, 123 nt
Filed under: Pteropus alecto (black flying fox)
Lineage: Eukaryota; Metazoa; Chordata; Mammalia; Chiroptera; Pteropodidae
Source: RNAcentral
GUCUAUGGCCACGCCACCUUGAGCAAGCCAAAUCUCAUCUGAUCUCAGAAGCUAACUAAGCAGGGUCGGGCCUGGUUAGUACUUGAAUGGGAGACCACCUAGGAAGACCAGGUGCUGUAGGCA